This 249-nucleotide long non-coding RNA is filed under the name Elaeis guineensis (African oil palm). RNAcentral describes it as "long non-coding RNA (EGUI_LNC076055)". Lineage: Eukaryota; Viridiplantae; Streptophyta; Magnoliopsida; Arecales; Arecaceae. The record is from RNAcentral.
GUAGUAUAUAUAAUGGUGAUCAUAUAUAGGGAUUCUUACCUCUAUCGAUGAUCGAUCUAAAUACAGAAAUCGAUGAGCUCCAUAAUCUACAAAUCCGAAAUUAAGAUAUUUUGCUCGAUACCUUCUUGUACAACAAUUGCAUCUCUACAUGAUUAAGAUUAAAUAUAAAAAUCAUGUACGAUUAAGGACAGAAAAAUUACGAAAAAAUCUUUAAAUAUUAUAAGUCUAAGACUCUCCUAGGGUCAACCA